UACGGAAGGCAGCAGUGGGGAAUAUUGGACAAUGGGCGAAAGCCUGAUCCAGCCAUGCCGCAUGAGUGAAGAAGGCCUUCGGGUUGUAAAGCUCUUUUAGUGAGAAAGAUAAUGACGGUACUCACAGAAGAAGUCCUGGCUAACUCCGUGCCAGCAGCCGCGGUAAUACGGAGAGGGCUAGCGUUAUUCGGAAUUAUUGGGCGUAAAGAGCGCGUAGGCUGAUUAGUAAGUUAAAAGUGAAAUCCCAAAGCUUAACUUUGGAAUUGCUUUUUAAAACUGCUAGUCUAGAGAUUGAAAGAGGAUAGAGGAAUUCCUAGUGUAGAGGUGAAAUUCGUAAAUAUUAGGAGAAACACCAGUGGCGAAGGCGUCUAUCUGGUUCAAAUCUGACGCUGAGGCGCGAAGGGCGUGGGGAGCGAAACAGGGAUUAGAUA
Molecule: ribosomal RNA, 431 nt
Filed under: uncultured bacterium
Lineage: Bacteria
Description: bacterial SSU rRNA
Rfam family: Bacterial small subunit ribosomal RNA
Source: RNAcentral